AUCCCAUGGUGUGGGCAUUGCCUCAUUAGCUCCUUAAAUCUUUCCCAAUGCUCAGUUAAGGACUCACUUGCCAAUUGUUUGAAGUUUUGAAUUUCCCUCCUCAUCCU
RNAcentral lists this small nucleolar RNA (107 nucleotides) under Ipomoea nil (Japanese morning glory). RNAcentral's name for it is "Plant small nucleolar RNA R71". It matches the Rfam family "Plant small nucleolar RNA R71". From Rfam's summary of the family: R71 is a member of the C/D box family of snoRNAs containing the C (UGAUGA) and D (CUGA) box motifs. Multiple nearly identical copies of this snoRNA have been identified in Arabidopsis, and it is thought to function as a 2'-O-ribose methylation guide for 18S ribosomal RNA. Lineage: Eukaryota; Viridiplantae; Streptophyta; Magnoliopsida; Solanales; Convolvulaceae. The record is from Rfam by way of RNAcentral.